GACGAACGCUGGCGGCGUGCUUAACACAUGCAAGUCGAACGGAAAGGCCCUGCGUUUGUGGGUUGGUCGAUUGGCGAACGGGUGAGUAAAACGUGAGUAACCUGCCCUUGACUGUGUGAUAACUUCAGGAAACUGGGGCUAAUAUCGGAUAGGAGCUCCUGCUGCGUGGUGGGGGUUGGAAAGUUUCGGCGGUUGUGGAUGUACUCGAUGCUUAUCAGCUUGUUGGUGGGGUAGUUGAUUACCAGGGCUUUGACGGGUAGGCGGCCUGAGAGGGUUACCGGCGACCUUGGGACUGAGAUAGGGACCAGACUCCUACGGGAGGCAGCAGUCGGGAAUAUUGCACAAUGGGCGGAAGCCUGAUGUAGCAACGUCGCGUGCGGGAUGACGGCCUUCGGGUUGUGAACAGAUUUCGAAUGUGACGAAGAGUGAGUGACGGUAAUGGGUAAAGAAGCAACGGCUAACUACGUG
RNAcentral lists this ribosomal RNA (468 nucleotides) under uncultured bacterium. Its description in RNAcentral is "partial 16S ribosomal RNA". It matches the Rfam family "Bacterial small subunit ribosomal RNA", at positions 28 to 507 of the family's 1533-position model. The record is from RNAcentral.